RNAcentral lists this ribosomal RNA (836 nucleotides) under Streptomyces sp. IM-7144. RNAcentral describes it as "bacterial SSU rRNA". It matches the Rfam family "Bacterial small subunit ribosomal RNA", at positions 38 to 889 of the family's 1533-position model. The record is from RNAcentral. Lineage: Bacteria; Bacillati; Actinomycetota; Actinomycetes; Kitasatosporales; Streptomycetaceae.
GGCGGCGUGCUUAACACAUGCAAGUCGAACGAUGAACCACUUCGGUGGGGAUUAGUGGCGAACGGGUGAGUAACACGUGGGCAAUCUGCCCUUCACUCUGGGACAAGCCCUGGAAACGGGGUCUAAUACCGGAUAACACUGCGGAUCGCAUGGUCUGCGGUUAAAAGCUCCGGCGGUGAAGGAUGAGCCCGCGGCCUAUCAGCUUGUUGGUGAGGUAAUGGCUCACCAAGGCGACGACGGGUAGCCGGCCUGAGAGGGCGACCGGCCACACUGGGACUGAGACACGGCCCAGACUCCUACGGGAGGCAGCAGUGGGGAAUAUUGCACAAUGGGCGAAAGCCUGAUGCAGCGACGCCGCGUGAGGGAUGACGGCCUUCGGGUUGUAAACCUCUUUCAGCAGGGAAGAAGCGAGAGUGACGGUACCUGCAGAAGAAGCGCCGGCUAACUACGUGCCAGCAGCCGCGGUAAUACGUAGGGCGCAAGCGUUGUCCGGAAUUAUUGGGCGUAAAGAGCUCGUAGGCGGCUUGUCACGUCGAUUGUGAAAGCCCGAGGCUUAACCUCGGGUCUGCAGUCGAUACGGGCUAGCUAGAGUGUGGUAGGGGAGAUCGGAAUUCCUGGUGUAGCGGUGAAAUGCGCAGAUAUCAGGAGGAACACCGGUGGCGAAGGCGGAUCUCUGGGCCAUUACUGACGCUGAGGAGCGAAAGCGUGGGGAGCGAACAGGAUUAGAUACCCUGGUAGUCCACGCCGUAAACGGUGGGAACUAGGUGUUGGCGACAUUCCACGUCGUCGGUGCCGCAGCUAACGCAUUAAGUUCCCCGCCUGGGGAGUACGGCCGC